Molecule: long non-coding RNA, 4517 nt
Filed under: Aquilegia coerulea
Lineage: Eukaryota; Viridiplantae; Streptophyta; Magnoliopsida; Ranunculales; Ranunculaceae
Description: long non-coding RNA (ACOE_LNC001458)
Source: RNAcentral
CAACUCAAGAUGUGUAUGUUCUCUAGUAGCUGAUCCAAGUUAUCCAAACCAGAGUUCUUAAAAAUACAUCAAGAAAAUAUCAAAUGUAAUGGGAAUAUGUCAGGAGUACAGAAUAUUCAUUAUAUUGUAUGUCUAGUUAUUUAGGUUCGGAAACUUCUUCAAGUCAAAUUACAUUUGUAAUGGGAAAAUGUCACGAGCACUACAGUUGGAAUCUAUAUCAAGUUCAGUGGCGGUGUCAUACCCAUAUAGCGCGCUUUACAGUUUCUAAGAUCAACUGCUUUGUGAAACAUUCUCGUUCUCAGCUUCAUGUUCUGUUCCUCUUCACGCUCCUCAACCUGAUUCUUUCUGUGCAAUCUCUAGGCAGCUUGCAUUGUAGCCAAGCUUUCUGUCUGAAAUGUUGAAUUUCUUCUUCUAGUUGUUCCGCUCAAACCAUGUAUCAUCAUACACCCGAACCACAAAUACCCAAUGAGUCCAAUACAACUAAGAAUUUUCAAAAGUAUUUGAAAUUUAGAUAAAGAAAUUUAAAAAUAAUGUGAUUGAGCUAGAACAAUAAAUUCAAAAGUAUUGGAGGAAGCACACUAAAUCUAAAAUCACUAUAAUUAAAAACAAGCCUGCCAUUUUAUAAAGAAGCGCCAAAGGUAAAUAGAAUCACAACAAGUAAGAUCCAUAUUAGAGGCCAUAUUGGGUUGCUGAUAACAAGUAAGCUUAAGCCAAUCCCCCACAUUGAUUUAAUUUAGGCACCAGAUUAAUAUGCCUUUGUCUUGGACACAUAAAAACUAGCUACUUUAGAUCAAAUUUCGAUCGACAAUAUCACCUGAUUUUUGAUAUAUGAAUUUGAUGUGCUUAAACGAUACCUAAGCAUUAUGGACAAGAUUUGUUCUCUACAGGACUUUGUGUGAAGACCUACUUUAAUUUCCCCAAUUUUCAUAAACUACUGAGUUUGGCAGUUUGCUCCCAUCAGUGAAGUGUAGCGACUAAAUGAUUUGCUCCCCUUUAUUUGUAAGGCUUUGUCCCAACUAAGGAUGACAUUGGUUAAGUUUGAUGACAAAUUGGUAAUCUUUAUCUAAUUUAUGCUAUAUACUUGCACUGUUGCACCAAGGCAAGACCAAGAUAUAAUUACCUUUCUCCAUUACUAUCAGCUUAAGACCAAACUUCUGCAAAGUAGAUCUAAGAUCUCAUUUCAUAAUGAACUAUGUUAUACUUCCAAACUAGCAACCCAUAUUAUUUUAUAAACACUGAAGUCUCUAAAAACCUCCAAUAUAGCUUUAAAACAGAAGAUGAAACCCUUUUAAUUGCAAAAGAGAAAACUCAAGUGACAUCGAAGACCUAUAAAAUGAUGGCCCUUCUAGUAUGAGUUAACUUUUUUGCGAAAAGAAAAAAAUUGUAAUACCAUUUUGAAGAGGAAAUACCAAGCAUUCCAAGUGAGGAUUUAUUAGUAUAAUAUGUUUUUAAGUUUUGCUUCUGUCUGGGGGUUGCAACUUCCAAUUUUUAUUUCUUCUGUUUUGUCUAAAGAUGCUAUGGGUGUUUGUACAACUAGACUUAUAAACUAAUAAAUAAAUUAGUUUUUCCAGGAAAAAAAAAAGGGGAGGAUUCAGUAGUGAUAUCAGGAUAGUGAGUGAGCCCAGGUUGGUUUUGGUCGAUAAAUCUUUUCACUUCUUGGUCCAUGAGACCAUGACACCAUUUCUGCAACAAGUAGUUAUCUUUGGUCUUUGGAGCUUACUUUCAUUUGCAGUGAAUUCAGAUAUUUCGUUUAAAAAUUCGGCCAGACACCAGAAGGCUAAGCAUCAAAGGCAUUGUCUUUCUGCUCUGCGCAGUUCAAAAAGUGUUGGAGCAUACUUUUUGAGCAUGUUGAGGCUAGAUAGAACUCAAAUCUAUAUCUAGAUUCCUUGUGAAUGUGAAUAUGUACUUAUAUGUGGUUCCUUAUGCAUGUAUGUUAGUUCGAGACCAACCUACAUUUUCUUGACUUUAAUGAUUUCUAUUUAAGAGUAGAUGACACAAAAAAUCAUCUAUCAUGCAUUGUAGAUAAGGUCAGCACGGAGAAAAUGGGUUAAAAUAGAAAUUCCAUUUUGGAAUGGAAAAUGGCUUAAAUUGAAUGUAAGUGGUUCUCUGUUCUCCAACAGUUUGACCCCUAGCUAGUCCCCUACACUAGAUAAAAUUCCCCUUUGGAUAUUGCUAAAUUAAAGAAAUUGGAAGCAUAAGUAAACUAAAUUAUUGCAGCAAGUAACUCGAUAAUUUUAAUUAUGGAAACUGAAAGGCACAAUGACAGACAGUAUGAAAGUUAAAGACUGUGAACUUAAGAAUGUGGAUAUUGAAGUGGCUUUGGCCUUAUGCAAUAUAUAGUAUACAUAAAACGAAUUUAUAAAGUUGUGAUAUAAUAUUAUUUCAUUAUUUGGUUGCUGGAAAUUUAUAAGAGAAAUCUAGGGAAAUCAUUUGCCCAUUAUAGAUAAAAAAAUAAGGUAGAAGUAGAAGUAGAAGUAAUCGGGCAAUAAUAACCGUAAAAGACAGCAAUUCAUAGAAAUAUCGAAAGAGUUGUGAAAGUUUAAGAAAAAGCAUACCUUGAUGAUGAUGAUACGAGAUUGAGAGUGCACAGAGAGUGUGAACUGUGAAGUAAAUGAGAGAGAGAGAGAGGGGUACACAAGCACACAACUUUUCAAUGACAUGAUUAGUCGAGGAAUCUCACCGGAUGUCUGCACAUACACUAUUCUGAUAGAUGCUAUUUCCAAGGAAGGGAGGAUUGAAGUUUGAAGAUGCACAUGACCUGUUUGAGGUCAUGAUUCAGAGAGGCAUGGAGCCUAACACGGUCACUUACAAUGUGCUCAUAGAUGUGUAUUAUUGUUUGCAAGGCCAGUUGGAAGUAGCUUAGCUAGGAAAGUGUCAUGAACCUGAUGUCUUAUUGAAUUCUAUCAAUUUGUUGGGUUAUUUCUUAUUGAAUUUUAUCAAUUUGUUGUAUAGGCAAAUCGUAAGCUGGCCAUGCCCAUGGGAGGCAGUGGCAGUCAUCUUUCUGGAAUUCUCAAAGGAUAGGGAACAGCCAAACAGCUACUGAAAUAUGGGUUCCAUGAGACAUAUCACUACCCGGGCCAUUACUUUGGGCUUUUGACAUAUGCUACUGGAGAUUGGAGUCUUGAAUGUCUGACAGAGAACUAGAGCAUUUUCCAUUUCCAUGGCGAUGAUGAUGAUGGGCACCUUUCAAAGGGUUUCUUCUUCAUCUAAUGGUAAACUCACUUCUUCUCUUCUUUUUAUCUUUCGUUCCAAAACUACUGAAACAAACACAAAUGCUUCUUCUGUUACUAUUAGUAGUAGUAGUAAUAUUGUCAACAACAAAAAUCCAGUUGAUUUUGAGUAUUUUGUAAGAGAUAGAUGUAAAUCAGGAAAUCUUGGAGUUAAUGAGGCAUUGGGUUUAUUCCAUAAACUUAUACAAAUGCAACCCUUACCUUCUAUUUACCCUUUCAGUGAACUUUUAGGAUCCCUUGUCAAGAUGAAGCAAUAUUCCAAAGUAUUUUCAUUGUGGAAAUUAAUGGAGUUUGAAGGUAUUGAAUCCAAUAUAGUUACAUUUGGAACUUUAAUCAAUUGUUCAUGUUAUGUGGGUAGAGUUGAUUUGGGAUUUGCUGUUUUGGGAAAAAUAUUGAAACUUGGUUUUGAGCCAAAUUCUAUUGUUUUUAGCACUCUUCUUAAGGGACUCUCUAUGAAAAGGAAAACAACACAAUGUCUUCAACUGUUUUACAAAAUAGCUAAGAAUGGAUAUCCUUGUGAUGAAGUCACUUUUGGAGUCGUGAUCAAUGCACUUUGCAAAUCUAUGAAAGCUGGCAACGCGCUUGAAUUGUUCAGAGCAGCUGUGGAAACGGAUAAACUUAAUCCUAAUGUAAACAUAUAUAGUACCAUCAUUGACGGUCUUUGCAAGGAGAAUCGGGUGAAAGAUGCAUUUCAUCUCUUUGAGGAAAUGAGUGUCAAAAGAAUUGUGGCCAAUGUGAUUACUUACAAUUCCUUAAUAUGUGGGCUAUGCAACACAGGUCAAUUGAGAGGGGCCUUGAGUUUGUUUGACAAUAUGCUGCAAAAACAAGUCUCACCAAAUGUAGUAACCUUCAGCAUCUUGAUUGAUUCUCAUUGCAAAAAUCAGAGGACUGAUGAAGCGCUUGAAUUAUUACAAGUGAUGCUUCAAAGAGGUGAAAAGCCUAAUGUUAUCACAUUUAACUCUUUGAUUCACGGUCUGUGCAGCUCUAAUCAAUGGAGAAAAGCAACAGAAAUGUUCAAUGAUAUGACCAGUCAAGGAAUCUCGCCAGAUGUCUGCACUUACAAUAUUCUGAUAGAUGCUUUUUCCAAAGAAGGGAAGAUCGACCAUGCACAUGAACUUUUUGAGCUCAUGAUUCAAAGAGGGAUGGAGCCUGACACAAUAACUUACAAUGUGCUAAUAGAUGGGUAUUGUCUACAAGGCCAAAUGGAAGGUGCAAGGAAAAUAUUUGAUUCAAUGUUGGGUACAAGUCAUGAACCUGAUGUUCGUAGCUAUAGUAUAUUAAUUAAUG